This 2123-nucleotide long non-coding RNA is filed under the name Mus musculus (house mouse). RNAcentral's name for it is "long non-coding RNA chr11:29696123-29698246". Lineage: Eukaryota; Metazoa; Chordata; Mammalia; Rodentia; Muridae. The record is from RNAcentral.
AAAAAUGUAGUUUUGAAGGUUUAUAGAUGAUUAUAAUAAAGACAAAGGUGAAAGCACUCUGUCCAUGGUUAGAAUAGACAAACUGGGAGAGGCUAUAUAUAAACCCCUAGCAACUGUGUUUAACACUGCUAUUUACAUUAGUUUUUUUCCUUAACUCUGAUAUCCUUCAGUUAGUAAGUUAUAGUUUUCCUGAAUUGCAGUAUCUCCAUUGUAAUGUAUUGAGACCUGUACCUUUUACUUGAUGACCAUUUUUCUAGAAAGAAUGGUUCAUUUGUUCUAAGGAAACUUAGAGAUUGAUUUGAGGAAAGUGCAGACAUCAGUUGACCAUUUUUCUAGAAAGAAUGGUUCAUUUGUUCUAAGGAAACUUAGAGAUUGAUUUGAGGAAAGUGCAGACAUCAGUUAAGAUGACUAAGCUGAUCUUUAGACACAUUGGUAAUGUGAAUGAAAGUGUGUGAUAGAUUAACUGGAAUUCUGAAGGGUAUUAAGUCAAAAUAAAGGAAUCUGGAUCUUAUUAUCAUACUUUAAUUCAUAGUCUGCCGUGUCAAGCUGCUUUUAUAUCAUGAAAUCAAAAUGGUUCUUCAAAAAAAAAAAAAAAAAAAGAUUUGUGUACGUGCACAGGCCAGAAACAGGAGGGUAUCUCUCUUGUUGAGUACAGAUAUGUUGGUAUCCAGCUUGAUAAUGAGAUUUUAUGAGUUGGUUAGUCUGUUUUGUUUCGUUUCAAAAGAAAAAAGAUUUAUCAAGCUUCUGGUGAUGGUGGUUUCAAGGCAUGGCAUCUGUCAUCUACUUGGCCAUGGUAAAAACCUUGUAGAUAAUGUCACAGUGGUGAGAGCCUGGACUAGAGGACCACAAUUACAUGGUGAGACAAGGAACCUGGGAGGAAGUAGGAACCAGUCUUGGCCUUUUAUAACCAUCAUCUUGUGAGAACUCAGGUUCUAGUAGAACCUUUAUUCUUCCUGGGAUUACAACCCAGAUUACAACCACUUCCCAGUAGGCUGUUCUCUUUUUGUCCCUGGGUAUUGAAUUGAUGGCCUUGUGUUCUAUAGUGAAGCCACUACUGACUGACUCACUUCUCCAACCUCUGCACUUUUAAUAUUAAUGUAAGUUCUUUUAUUUUGUGACUUGGGGUCUUUCUGCCACAGCUUAUUGAAUAUCUGGAAUUACAGGUUUGGGUAUACAGGCCCACCUGUGGUCCCCACUUCUUAAAGAUAUGAUUAUCUAUUGAUGUAGACAUGUGGGAGCCAAGCUCUGUAUAGUAUUUUUGAACAGUACUGAAGUAAUGCCAAAAAUACCUUUUCAUCAGCUUUUCUAAGUUGUACUCUUGCAGAUUGUACCUGUUGGAAGUGUCUUGACUAUCUGUCUACAGUUCUGUGGAAUGGCAUUUAUGUGUGUGUACCUUUUCCAUUUUGUACCAAAGUGUCUGCAGAGGUCCGGGGGAUAUGGUUCAGUCGUAGAGCAUUGCCUCAAGGAUUCCAAGUCAGGGGUUUGAUUUUUAGCAUUGGAAAAAACACUGCUAUCCACAUGCCCCAACUGAUCAAACAAACAAAUAGAUGCAGAGAAUUCCACAGACAUAUAGCCCAGUAGUCCUCAUCUCUGAUUUCACUUUGUGAAUUUCAUUACUUUAUGUUAAAAGAGGCUAAGUGGAAAGAUUCCAGGAAUAGCUCAUUAGCUUUAAAUUAUAUGUUGAUCUGAUUAGGGUGAUAAAUUAUCCCUUUCCCAAUGUAUCCAUGCUGUCUGUGUUGUACCUCCCAUUUUGUCUCUUUGUUAGGAGAAAAACUAGUGACUUCAAAUGAGCUUAUAUUUAAAUGAGCAUUAAAGUAAUGAGAUUGGCAAAGCUUUAAAAUUACUUCCCUUGAUUGAAACAUGAAAAUUUAUCAUAAGUGUAUUUGUAUAUGGAAGAAAAUCAGUUUAUUUCGGGUUUAUUUACUGUCCUUUCAAGAGUCCACUGUUAUCUGGGCAUAUACCUCCUGGUUGAUGGAGGAGAAUCCGUGACCUUUAUUUCACUUAAUAAUGACCCCAAAGUGCAAAAGUAGUUUAUCUAAGCUUUAUCAUAGGUGUGUGGUAUAGGCAAAGAGUAUGUAUGGAGUUUAAUACUAUUUCAAUUGCAGGUGUCCUCUGGCAAUAGU